UAUUAAUCAUACAAUGUCUUUCUUCCAGGAGCAUUCCUGUUCUGCCCACCAGAGGUCUUCUCCAAACCCAAAUACUACGCCGUCCCAACAAACGUCUGGACUCUAGGUGUGACGCUGUACAUGAUGGUCAACAUAAAGCUGCCUUUUUCAAGUGUCAAGCAAAUAUUGAAAGCCUGUCCUUUCCCUUGGAAAGCUGAGCUAUCCAGCGCAUGCAGUGAUCUGAUCCACCAGUGUCUGGAGCGCAGUCCAGCGAAGCGGCCCACGUUAGAGCAGAUCUUACAGCACCAAUGGUUUGAAAGUCAGCUCUAGGAUGAAGACAGGCGUUGGAUCCUUCUGUCCUCUGGGUCAGACGAAGAGAAGAUCUGCAAUUGUUCUCAUUAGAGAUGAUGAAACAGAGACUGGAUGAAGACAGGGUCAAGAAUACAGUUCCUCAGAGGACACACAACAUCCAGUCGGCUGAAGAACCCAGGACUAGACAGAAAACACAAAGCAGAGACGGAAACAAUGUCUCAUUCUCUGGAGACCAUGAGCCAUAGACCUUUCACAUGAAUUGGUUAUGAUUUCUGAUUUCACAUGAAUGCAGUGCUUCCCGGUGUUUUUGAUGAUACUCUUAACCAGCGCUGCAGCUCUAAUGAUCGGUUCAGCUUUAUAAUAUAUAAUGCAUAAUAAUUCAUUAUUAUAGGUUUAUUAUUAAAAAUUUUAAAUUAAAUUUGUUAAAGUUAUUUCUUUUGGAAGAAAUAAAAGUAGGUUCUUUUUAAACUUGUGACAAGUUGUUAAAUACACAGUAUUUAAAACAAUGCUUCUAAAUCCUGAAAAAAAAACAAAAAAACAAAAACCUGACUUUCAAAGUAAUAUGCCCAACAAGGAAUUUUGUCAAUUUAUUUAUUGGUUAAAAACACUUAUCAGUCCCUCCAGAAAAACGUGAUAAUGCGAUC
Carassius auratus (goldfish) is the source of this 935-nucleotide long non-coding RNA. RefSeq lists it as uncharacterized. The transcript is spliced from 3 exons. The record is from RefSeq and is a predicted model, not a curated record. Lineage: Eukaryota; Metazoa; Chordata; Actinopteri; Cypriniformes; Cyprinidae.